GACGAACGCUGGCGGCGUGCUUAACACAUGCAAGUCGAACGGAGAGGCCCCCACUUUUUUGGUGGGGGUGCUCGAGUGGCGAACGGGUGAGUAACACGUGGGUGAUCUGCCCUGUACUUCGGGAUAAGCUUGGGAAACUGGGUCUAAUACCGGAUAGGACCAUGGUUUAGUGUCUCAUGGUGGAAAAAUUAUUGUUUUGGUGCAGGAUGAGCUCGCGGCCUAUCAGCUUGUUGGUGGGGUAAUGGCCUACCCAGGCGUCGACGGGUGGCCGGCCUGAGAGGGUGGACGGCCAGAUUGGGAGUGAGAGACGGCCCAGACUCCUACGGGAGGCAGCGGUGGGGAAUAUUGCACAAUGGGCGCAAGACUGAUGCAGCGACGCCGCGUGGGGGAUGACGGCCUUCGGGUUGUAAACUCCUUUCGUUAGGGACGAAGCCGCACCUUUUUUGGGUGUGGUGACGGUACCUUUGUGAAGAAGCACCGGCUAACUACGUG
Molecule: ribosomal RNA, 492 nt
Filed under: uncultured bacterium
Lineage: Bacteria
Description: partial 16S ribosomal RNA
Rfam family: Bacterial small subunit ribosomal RNA
Source: RNAcentral